GAUACAUGGGGAUGUCACAAAAAGGCCAUCAUCAAAAAGUCUGCAGGAGAUCCUGCUGUGGUGCAAUGGGAUCAACACUGGGAUGCAGGUUCAAUCCCCGCACAGGGGGUUAAGGAUCUAACAUUGUCACAGCUGAGGUACAGGUUGUCACUGUGGCUCAGAUCUGAACCCUAGCCUGAAAACUCCAUAUGCUCUGGGGUGGCCGAAAAAGAAAAAGAAAAAAAAGGAGCUCCUGUCAUGGCUCAGGGGUAAUGAACCUGACUAGUAUCCAUGAGGAUGCCGGUUCAAUCCCAGGCCUCGCUCAUGGGUUAAGGAUCCGGCAUUGCCGUGAGCUAUGGUAUAGGUUGCACACACAGCUUGGAUCCUGCAUGGCUGUGGCUGUGGCGUGGGUCAGCAGCUCUAGCUCCAACUGGACCCCUAGCCUGGGAACCUCCAUAUGCCGCGGGUGCUGCCCUAAAAAAGCAAAAAAAAAAAAAAAGCUAUUGUAUCUUAUCUUCACGUAGCUAAUGGGUAUAUGGUGCCCCAGAACUACACCCCUGGUUCCAGCCAGCCUAGGGUCACACUCCAGCUCCGUGACCCUGAGAAUAGUUUCCUAAGCAUUCUGAAGUCCCUUAGUCUUGUCAUCUGCCUGGCAGAGUGAGACGUGGUUUUCACCCUGAUUUAAAUUCUGGCCCUAGCAUCCUCAUCAUAAGUUAGGGAAAAGUGGCUCUAGCUCAGGGGUUCUCUUUACACUCACUGGAGGGUGUGUGGGAGGUGAGACCUACUCAUCAAGACCUUGGAGAGAGGCUGCCAAGAUGAAUGGAAAGAAGCCAGGCUCAGAGCUUGAAGCACGCUCUGUGACUUGCAAGCAGGGGAAUUCAUCCCAGCCUCUCUGAGCCUCAACUUCCUCAUCUUUUUUUUUUUUUUUUUUUUUUAGGGCCGCACCCUCAGCAUAUGGAAGUUCCUAGGUUAGGGAUCCAAUUGGAGCUGCAGCUGCCAGCCGACGGCACAGCCGCAGCAACAUGGGAUCGAGCUGCCUCUGUGACCUACGCCACAGCUCACAGCAAUGCCUGAUCCUUAACCCACUGAGCGAGGCCAGGGAUCGAACCUGUAUCGUCAUGGAUGCUAGUCAAGUUCAUAACCCGAUGAGUGACAGAGGGAACUCCCUUAACUUCCUCAUCUUUAAAGAAAGGUCACGGGAGGACCGAGGUGUGCUGCGGAUCAUGUGGGCCAAGAGAGGUGAAAAGGCUGCUAGGAUAACACUGCACAUCGUCUAGUUGAAUAAAUGUCUUCCCAUCCAUGCCCCGCCAUCUGGAGUCCAGGCUCCACAAUCGGAUUUCAGCUCUGGGUGAUGGCAGGAAAGACAGUCAGAGCUGCAGUAAAUGAUUGUGAGAAUCUCACCCCGAUUGCCUCCUCUCCAGGAUCUUUCUGGAGCACCUGCUGUCCGACUCUAGCUUCUUUGGGUUCCAGGGAGGGACCAGCUGGAGGUAGCGCCAUGGACAUCCUGUUAUCAGGGGCAAGACUCUAGUGGGUGCUAAAAACAAAUGCCCAGGCACCAGGCAGCACUUAAGGGUGAUGUAUACACAAGAUACACAAGUGACAACUUCAGCAUCCUCUGCUAAGCCUCAUCCCUGCUCCAUCCAUUCAUCAUCAUCAAUAGAGUCUUUUGACACCCAUUUAUUGAAGCCUGCUGUGUACCAGGCUUAUGCGGGCUGGAGAACGAAAGAGGUUUAAGUCCCCCACUCUUGUUCCAGGAACCACAAAGAACAAGUCCGUUUUCCCUUCUUGUCAG
This 1771-nucleotide long non-coding RNA is filed under the name Sus scrofa (pig). RNAcentral's name for it is "lncRNA (ENSSSCG00030064439.1)". Lineage: Eukaryota; Metazoa; Chordata; Mammalia; Artiodactyla; Suidae. The record is from RNAcentral.